Molecule: long non-coding RNA, 1620 nt
Filed under: Ficedula albicollis (Collared flycatcher)
Lineage: Eukaryota; Metazoa; Chordata; Aves; Passeriformes; Muscicapidae
Description: lncRNA (ENSFALG00000028525.1)
Source: RNAcentral
CGGGUCACAGAGGCGUGGGCGGGGUCUUGGGUCAUGGGCGGGGCCUGAUGCGGUGUGGGCGUGCUCUGAUGUGUGGGCGCGGCCUGGGGCGGCGCGCGGGCGGGUUUUGGGCGGGAACGCGUGAGGAGGCCUCGGGCCGUGCCUGUGAGGGGCCGGGCACGGCGGGAUCGGCCGAACCGUACAUCUCAGGCGGUGCCCGUGAGGGGCCGGGCACGGCCGGACCUGCAUCAUCUUUGGCCGUGCCCGUGAGGGGCUGGGCACGGUGGCACGGCCGGACCUGCAGCAUCUUUGGCCGUGCCCGUGAGGGGCUGGUUGAGGCGGACAUCUCGAGCCGUCCUGAGGUGCUCCCGACGAGCCCUGGGCCGCGCAGGAUGUGUGCAGGAAUCCCAGCUAGUGCAGGCAGGGCUGCCGAGAAUUGGGACUGCAUCACCUGCGUGGGCCAGCACGGACAGACGAGCAGCGAACUCAUGGCUGAGUGCGACAAGGGCGGCCAAAUCACGACUCGAUAUCUGCGGCUUACCCUGUUUUCGAGAAAUAUUCCUCUACAGCCCCACUUGUGCCAGUUUUAUUAGGAGCCUAUGAAAGUGCAGCCAUCACCUGCUAUUUUUCAGGCCGAUUCCUUGUGUUGCUCCAGGCUGUUGGAUUGUUCCAUGGGAUGCCAGUGCAGCACAACAGCUCCUUGAACCACGUGUAAUGCUGUGGGUGAGGACACUGUCACCUUGUUCUUUGUCCUGUAGGAUUCUUGUUUGCUCCUAAGGACACCCAUGUUGAUUUAGCGCUCAGGGAAUGGGAUCCUUGAAGCACUAAUGAGUUUUUCUGAAGCUGCUCCAAAUUUCCAUUCACACUUCAGUUUUCUGCUUCUGUAGUCAGUUCUAUAGUGGGAUAGGGAAAAGAGAUCAAAUUAAGAGGGCAAAGAAUAGCACAAACAUCCAUUCACCACUAAUAUGCAUGACAGCAAGCAUUCUUUGCUGGCUUUGCUCUUUUAUGGAUAAAGUUCUUCACAGCUUGUAGUGAUAUUGCCCAUUGCAAACCAGCACCUGUGAUAUAAAUACACACACACAAAGGAAAAGCUCAGCAAUACUGGUCAGGCAGCACUAAGUGCUUACGUGUGCUCUCAUUUUAAAGAUUUCUGGACCAUGCUCCCAAAUUUUGUUCCUCCCCCAGUGGAAGUUGGAACAGCCACAUCCAUCACACCCUGAUUUGCACACUAACCAAGGAAAGGUUUUUGCUGCAGGUCACUGCUAGUCUGGGAACAGUUUCUCGGAGAAGCUGUGGCUGCGCCAUCCCUGGAAAUGUCCAUGGCCAGGUUGGAUGGGACAUGGAGCAGCCUGGGAUAGUGGAAGGUGUUUUGCCCAUGGCAGGAGGCUGGAAUAAGAUGAGCUUUAAGGUCCCUUCCAGCUCAAAACAUCCUGUGAUUCUGUCACUCCACAGCAUUCCUGGUUUGUCAUGUAUCAUCUGACAAGGAACAUCUCUCCCUGCACAAGCAAUACCAUGGCUUGCCAGGAGGUGUUGCUUUGAAACCAUGUAAAUAUCAUAGCUCAAAAGUCGUGAGAUAAGCUUGUACUAUUGAACAUACUUUGUUCUGGCAGGGAAAAAUCAAGGUUCUACCUCUGAAAUGGC